RNAcentral lists this ribosomal RNA (484 nucleotides) under uncultured bacterium. Its description in RNAcentral is "partial 16S ribosomal RNA". It matches the Rfam family "Bacterial small subunit ribosomal RNA", at positions 30 to 507 of the family's 1533-position model. The record is from RNAcentral.
AUUGAACACUGGCGGCAGGCCUAACACAUGCAAGUCGAGCGGAUGAAGGGAGCUUGCUCCUGGAUUCAGCGGCGGACGGGUGAGUAAUGCCUAGGAAUCUGCCUGGUAGUGGGGGAUAACGUCCGGAAACGGGCGCUAAUACCGCAUACGUCCUGAGGGAGAAAGUGGGGGAUCUUCGGACCUCACGCUAUCAGAUGAGCCUAGGUCGGAUUAGCUAGUUGGUGGGGUAAAGGCCUACCAAGGCGACGAUCCGUAACUGGUCUGAGAGGAUGAUCAGUCACACUGGAACUGAGACACGGUCCAGACUCCUACGGGAGGCAGCAGUGGGUAAUAUUGGACAAUGGGCGAAAGCCUGAUCCAGCCAUGCCGCGUGUGUGAAGAAGGUCUUCGGAUUGUAAAGCACUUUAAGUUGGGAGGAAGGGCAGUAAGUUAAUACCUUGCUGUUUUGACGUUACCAACAGAAUAAGCACCGGCUAACUUCGUG